Molecule: transfer RNA, 73 nt
Filed under: Bacteroidales bacterium
Lineage: Bacteria; Pseudomonadati; Bacteroidota; Bacteroidia; Bacteroidales
Also listed under: 1 other name
Description: tRNA-Thr
Rfam family: tRNA
About the family: Transfer RNA (tRNA) molecules are approximately 80 nucleotides in length. Their secondary structure includes four short double-helical elements and three loops (D, anti-codon, and T loops). Further hydrogen bonds mediate the characteristic L-shaped molecular structure. tRNAs have two regions of fundamental functional importance: the anti-codon, which is responsible for specific mRNA codon recognition, and the 3' end, to which the tRNAs corresponding amino acid is attached (by aminoacyl-tRNA synthetases). tRNAs cope with the degeneracy of the genetic code in two manners: having more than one tRNA (with a specific anti-codon) for a particular amino acid; and 'wobble' base-pairing, i.e. permitting non-standard base-pairing at the 3rd anti-codon position.
Source: RNAcentral
GCCUCUUUAGCUCAGCUGGUAGAGCAACGCAUUCGUAAUGCGUAGGUCGAGGGUUCAAAUCCCUUGAGAGGCU